RNAcentral lists this ribosomal RNA (377 nucleotides) under uncultured Planctomycetota bacterium. Its description in RNAcentral is "bacterial SSU rRNA". It matches the Rfam family "Bacterial small subunit ribosomal RNA", at positions 521 to 896 of the family's 1533-position model. Lineage: Bacteria; Pseudomonadati; Planctomycetota. The record is from RNAcentral.
UAAGACGAAGGUGGCUAGCGUUGUUCGGAAUCAUUGGGCUUAAAGAGCAUGUAGGCGGCCCGACAAGCGUCGUGUGAAAUCCCUCGGCCCAACCGAGGAACUGCACGGCGAACUGUCAGGCUUGAGGCAAGUAGGGGCGUGUGGAACUCUUGGUGGAGCGGUGGAAUGCGUAGAUAUCAAGAGGAACACCGGUGGCGAAGGCGACACGCUGGGCUUGUCCUGACGCUGAGAUGCGAAAGCCAGGGUAGCGAACGGGAUUAGAUACCCCGGUAGUCCUGGCCCUAAACGAUGUCAACUAGGUCGGAGGUUCUCUGACGGGGUUCCGGCCGGAGCGAAAGUGAUAAGUUGACCGCCUGGGGAGUACGGUCGCAAGGCUA